GACGAACGCUGGCGGCGUGCUUAACACAUGCAAGUAGAACGGAAGGGCCCUGCUUUUGUGGGGUGCUCGAGUGGCGAACGGGUGAGUAACACGUGAGUAACCUGCCCUUGACUUUGGGAUAACUUCAGGAAACUGGGGCUAAUACCGGAUAGGAGCUCCUGCUGCAUGGUGGGGGUUGGAAAGUUUCGGCGGUUGGGGAUGGACUCGCGGCUUAUCAGCUUGUUGGUGGGGUAGUGGCUUACCAAGGCUUUGACGGGUAGCCGGCCUGAGAGGGUGACCGGCCACAUUGGGACUGAGAUACGGCCCAGACUCCUACGGGAGGCAGCAGUGGGGAAUAUUGCACAAUGGGCGGAAGCCUGAUGCAGCAACGCCGCGUGCGGGAUGACGGCCUUCGGGUUGUAAACCGCUUUCGCCUGUGACGAAGCGUGAGUGACGGUAAUGGGUAAAGAAGCACCGGCUAACUACGUG
Molecule: ribosomal RNA, 468 nt
Filed under: uncultured bacterium
Lineage: Bacteria
Description: partial 16S ribosomal RNA
Rfam family: Bacterial small subunit ribosomal RNA
Source: RNAcentral